GUGGGGAAUUUUGGACAAUGGGCGCAAGCCUGAUCCAGCAAUGCCGCGUGCAGGAAGAAGGCCUUCGGGUUGUAAACUGCUUUUGUACGGAACGAAACGGUCCUGGUUAAUACCUGGGGCUAACGACGGUACCGUAAGAAUAAGCACCGGCUAACUACGUGCCAGCAGCCGCGGUAAUACGUAGGGUGCGAGCGUUAAUCGGAAUUACUGGGCGUAAAGCGUGCGCAGGCGGUGCUGUAAGACAGGCGUGAAAUCCCCGGGCUCAACCUGGGAAUUGCGCUUGUGACUGCAGUGCUGGAGUACGGCAGAGGGGGAUGGAAUUCCGCGUGUAGCAGUGAAAUGCGUAGAUAUGCGGAGGAACACCGAUGGCGAAGGCAGUCCCCUGGGCCUGUACUGAAGCUCAUGCACGAAAGCGUGGGGAGCAAACAGGAUUAGAAACCCAGUAGUCC
Molecule: ribosomal RNA, 449 nt
Filed under: uncultured bacterium
Lineage: Bacteria
Description: partial 16S ribosomal RNA
Rfam family: Bacterial small subunit ribosomal RNA
Source: RNAcentral